GCAAAGCAUCCUCACAAGUGCCGCGGUGUCGCAUCCCAUCGAAACCGUUAGCUGCUACGAACUAUGGAAGGGUGGCCAAAAUAAAGAAAUCUCUGUUCGCUCUGCCUCUCUCUCACUCUCUCAAACACGCACGCACGCGCAUCAUCUCCAAGAAGAAGAAGAAGAAGAAGAGAGCCACCGGGUGAUCCAACUGUUCCAUUUACUCAUCCCACCUGCCACGGCCGUCUUUAAAGUGAAAAUCAAUGGGGUACAUGAUAUUAAAAGCUGUAGCAAAGAAAUAAAGCCAGUGAAAGCAGAGCCAACCUUUGCGUUCUUCGUCUGCUCUGUUUUGACAAAGAUUGCUGAUUAGAGAGUUGAGAUGAUUCAUCUGGCGGUUUUUUGUCGAUGUAUGUAUCAGGUAUUUUUCCCAACAAUCUGAUUGAUUCAUUAGCUUAGUUCCUUGAUCGAUAGUCUUAACAAAUCGAGUGGAUUAUCCACAAGUAUACGCCUAGUUAUGAGGAAAUCAUUGAAUUUGCGUUGAUGCACUUAAUUAUAUUUUGGAUUAUCCGCAUGUACUUUCUCUUUGUCUUACGGUGUAAGUUGUCCUUGAAGAGAAUUACAACUGCGACCGCAGUUUCCACUUGUUUGU
Syzygium oleosum is the source of this 628-nucleotide long non-coding RNA. RefSeq lists it as uncharacterized. NCBI's taxonomy places the organism in Eukaryota, Viridiplantae, Streptophyta, Magnoliopsida, Myrtales, Myrtaceae. The record is from RefSeq and is a predicted model, not a curated record. The transcript is spliced from 3 exons.